Molecule: non-coding RNA, 182 nt
Filed under: Massilia forsythiae
Lineage: Bacteria; Pseudomonadati; Pseudomonadota; Betaproteobacteria; Burkholderiales; Oxalobacteraceae
Description: 6S / SsrS RNA
Rfam family: 6S / SsrS RNA
About the family: E. coli 6S RNA was the first non coding RNA to be sequenced, but its function was unknown until recently. It consists of 184 nucleotides that fold into an extended hairpin structure with a large single-stranded internal bulge. The 6S RNA specifically associates with RNA polymerase holoenzyme containing the sigma70 specificity factor.
Source: Rfam by way of RNAcentral
UCUACCCUGCGGUGUUCGAGAUUUGUCAUAUAUUCCUUGAACCAUUCUUACGCAUAGGUUGUGGAACAUUCUUGAUGGGCGUGAUCGUCACUUGCUUGACGAACCCGAAAUUGAGCUGACUGCGACCACCUUGAGCCGUUCAGGUUCGGGAUGCCGGCAAAAACGGCACAGGCGGGGCUUUA